RNAcentral lists this long non-coding RNA (586 nucleotides) under Panax ginseng (ginseng). RNAcentral's name for it is "long non-coding RNA (PGIN_LNC013477)". Lineage: Eukaryota; Viridiplantae; Streptophyta; Magnoliopsida; Apiales; Araliaceae. The record is from RNAcentral.
AAAGACAAGCCUUGGGAGCGCGCGCCCGCACGCGAGAACGGCCAAACAUACGAACCUACUGCAAGUCUCACGGCCGCGAGAAUAUCACACUGGAGGAGCUCGCGGCCACACGCGAGGCUUGAAGCUGCUGACUUGUUUUAUUUUAUUUCCAAAUUUUAAAGGUUGUAAUUGAUUUAAAAUGAUUCCUGACUGGUGUCAGGGUUAUCACUUGACAUUUGAUUAGUUUUUCACGUAUCUUUACUUGGUAAUUAGGGUUUUUACUCUCUAGGAGAAAGUCCAACGUAGAAGGAGGCGACAACUCUAUCUCUUUGUUCCUUCUUGGGAUUUUCUACCAGAGUGAGAUUAUUAUUAUUAGUUUUUUGCUGGAAUCGUAUGAGGAUUUGAAUUUUGAUUCAUAUUCUGCAAUUGGGUUUGAUAGUUUCAUCUUUCAUCUUUCAAUUGUCAUUUAUUGAUCAUGUUUAGAUUUGAUCCCAUCAUGGCUUUUGGUUCAGUCAUGAACUAAACUCCAUUAUGGGAUUAUAACGGAUUUUAAUAUGUAGUUUGAUUUCAUGUUUAAAUGCUGGAUUGCUUUGCAUAUCAUAUGGGA